RNAcentral lists this long non-coding RNA (1786 nucleotides) under Onthophagus taurus. RNAcentral describes it as "uncharacterized LOC111423428". Lineage: Eukaryota; Metazoa; Arthropoda; Insecta; Coleoptera; Scarabaeidae. The record is from RNAcentral.
UGUUGUAAACACCCAUGUUUUCAACACACCGUUUGUCUCAAAGCUGAUUUGAAAUAAAAUUAAAUUUAAAAAAAGCAUAACCUUAAAAUAUCUAAUGUCAACUUGACGUUUAAAUGUCAACACUACAAUUUUUAUAAAUAAUCUAUGUAUGUCAAUGACUCCAACAAAUACAUACGUAUAUCCCUAAAUAAACUUAUUAUUUACAGUGUAAACAACUUUUUAGCAUAUAAAAUCAUGAAUGGAUCGUAACGAAAUCAAUUUUACCCAAGAAAUAGUUGAAAUCUCUCUCAACCAUGAUUUUGGUUCAAUUUUUGCUCAUUUUAACAAUGUUUUCAAUAACAAACUCGUAUUUGCAUCGACAUUGUAUUCUACAACCUCAUUUGUGCCACUUUAAUCGUGGUCCAUCUAUUGUUGUUGUGGAUUGUUCGAAGUGCUGCAGAGAACCAAAUAAAGUGCCUCCGAUUCCUCUUUAUACAUCUUCGGUUCCUCCGGAAACUUCAGGAACUUCAGGACUUUCGGAAACAAUAACAACAGAUGAGACAACUACAAUAACAGAAUCUAUUAUUACAGGAAAACCAGAUCCGUCAAAAUAAUUUUAUUAUUGUAUUUUAACACAAACAAUAACAACGAUUUUAUCUUGAAAUUAAAACGUUUUCGUCGUACUCAAUUUCAAAAUUUUUGCAUUCCUUUUUGCUGCAAACGAAUGAGUAUUUUUUUGGUAAUUUUACGCAAAAGCAUCGUGCGCAUCCGAUCAUUUUAACUUGUCCUAACGAACAAUCUAAGAAAAGAUCAAGUAGUUUAGUUACUUAAUUAAAUCUACUUACCAUUUUGUUCGUUAAUAACUGAAUUAAAAACGCCGAAUAAAAUCGAAAAAAUUGUUAUUAAAGCAAAGGAGUGAAUCAUUUUACUUAAUAUUUAGGAUUUAAACUACAUCGUAAAGAAUUAAUGGCGUAUUGUGCUAUUGUCUUUAUAUUUAUGAUUAAUAAAACUCUUGUUUAUGAAUAUAAACGGUUUAUAAUAAAAUUGUUGAAUAUUCAAUAAAUCGGUACAGCGUUCUACUUUAUCGUACGCGAAUUGACAGAUCAUUUCAGAGAUUAUUAUAACAAAUAAUAACUGUGUUACUUUACAACCGUUAAACCAGUGUUAUAUUUAAGCUAUUUAAGGUGAUCUUGUGUAUUAUUGUGAGUGUUUAAUAAAAUAGUAUAUUAUUUAUAAUUGUUGAAUAUUCAAUAAGUCGGUACAGCGUUCUACUUUAUCGUACGCGAGUUGACAGAUCAUUUCAGAGAUUAUUAUAACAAAUAAUAACUGUGUUACUUUACAACCGUUAAACCAUUGUUAUAUUUAAGCUAUUUAAGGUGAUCUUGUGUAUUAUUGUGAGUGUUUAAUAAAAUAGUGUAUUAUUUAUAAUUGUUGAAUAUUCAAUAAAUCGGUACAACGUUCUACUUUAUCGUACGCGAAUUGACAGAUCAUUUCAGAGAUUAUUAUAACAAAUAAUAACUGUGUUACUUUACAACCGUUAAACCAGUGUUAUAUUUAAGCUAUUUAAGGUGAUCUUGUGUAUUAUUGUGAGUGUUUAAUAAAAUAGUAUAUUAUUUAUAAUUGUUGAAUAUUCAAUAAAUCGGUACAGCGUUCUACUUUAUCGUACGCGAAUUGACAGAUCAUUUCAGAGAUUAUUAUAACAAAUAAUAACUGUGUUACUUUACAACCGUUAAACCAGUGUUAUAUUUAAGCUAUUUAAGGUGAUCUUGUGUAUUAUUGUGAGUGUUUAAUAAAAUAGUAUAUUAUU